AAGGCCUGGUCCUGACCUUAUUAUCAGCUCUUACCCAACUUACACAUGCAAGUCUCCGCAGCCCCGUGAGCAUGCCCUUAAUCCCCCGUCCGGGGACGAGGAGCGGGCAUCAGGCACAAACUUUAGCCCAAGACGCCUAGCCAAGCCACACCCCCAAGGGAAUUCAGCAGUGAUAAACAUUAAGCCAUAAGUGAAAGCUUGACUCAGUCAGGGUUAAUUGAGGGCCGGUAAAUCUCGUGCCAGCCACCGCGGUUAAACGGGGGACCCUAGUUGAUAACACCACGGCGUAAAGGGUGGUUAAGGAAAGUAAAAUAAUAAAGCCGAAUGGCCCUUUGGCCGUCAUACGCUUCUAGGCACUUGAAGCCCAAUUUAUACGAAAGUAGCUUUAAUAAAGCCCACCUGACCCCACGAAAGCUGAGAAACAAACUGGGAUUAGAUACCCCACUAUGCUCAGCUAUAAACCUAGACUUCCAAAUACAGAUAAACGUUCGCCCGGGUACUACGAGCAUUAGCUUGAAACCCAAAGGACCUGACGGUGCCUUAGACCCCCCUAGAGGAGCCUGUUCUAGAACCGAUAAUCCCCGUUAAACCUCACCACUUCUGGCCGUCCCAGCCUGUAUACCGCCGUCGUCAGCUUACCCUGUGAAGGUAAAAAAGUAAGCAAAAUGGGCAUAGCCCAGAACGUCAGGUCAAGGUGCAGCUUACGGAGUGGAAAGAAAUGGGCUACAUUUUCUAUCACAGAAUACUACGAAUAUGCAACAUGAAACAAUGCUUGAAGGAGGAUUUAGUAGUAAAAAGGAAGCAGAGUGUCCUUUUGAACCCGGCUCUGAGGCGCGUACACACCGCCCGUCACCCUCCCCGUCAAUAAAAUGCAAUAAAAGUACAUACACCAAAGCACUGACAAGAGGAGGCAAGUCGUAACAUGGUAAGUGUACCGGAAGGUGCACUUGGAUUAAG
RNAcentral lists this non-coding RNA (957 nucleotides) under Macrochirichthys macrochirus (sward minnow). Its description in RNAcentral is "12S rRNA". It matches the Rfam family "Bacterial small subunit ribosomal RNA". Lineage: Eukaryota; Metazoa; Chordata; Actinopteri; Cypriniformes; Xenocyprididae. The record is from RNAcentral.